This 274-nucleotide ribosomal RNA is filed under the name uncultured bacterium. RNAcentral's name for it is "partial 16S ribosomal RNA". It matches the Rfam family "Bacterial small subunit ribosomal RNA", at positions 523 to 796 of the family's 1533-position model. The record is from RNAcentral.
CUACGGAGGGUGCAAGCGUUAAUCGGAAUUACUGGGCGUAAAGCGCGCGUAGGCGGCUUAUUAAGUCAGAUGUGAAAUCCCCGGGCUCAACCUGGGAACUGCAUCUGAUACUGGUAAGCUAGAGUUUUGGAGAGGGAAGUAGAAUUUCAGGUGUAGCGGUGAAAUGCAUAGAGAUCUGAAGGAAUACCAGUGGCGAAGGCGACUUCCUGGCCAAAAACUGACGCUGAGGUGCGAAAGCGUGGGUAGCAAACGGGAUUAGAAACCCUAGUAGUCC